Hypanus sabinus (Atlantic stingray) is the source of this 3482-nucleotide long non-coding RNA. RefSeq lists it as uncharacterized. The transcript has 3 exons. Lineage: Eukaryota; Metazoa; Chordata; Chondrichthyes; Myliobatiformes; Dasyatidae. The record is from RefSeq and is a predicted model, not a curated record.
GGAACGGCUUGCCACGUGACGGAGCGGCGCGGGGGACUCGGGGGCCGGCCGAGUGCGAUAUAAAACUGUAAACGAGCGGCAAGAGAAGAUAUUGGAUCUCUGGAAAAUGAUGCUGGAGAAGUAGUAAUGGGGGACAAGGACAUGGUGGACGAAAGGAAAAACCAGGUAUGACUUGCAGAGGCCUAUCUCAAGAGUGAAGAGACAAUUCAGAGCGAGGUUGGAGGUGACAUCGUACGCACAUCAACUCUGGCAGGGUUUACAGGCUACUACUUCCUACAAAGUGAAACCCACCAUCAUGAAUGGCAGUGAUGCUUCACCCUUUGACAAGCACAACACCAUUUAUGUACACUUUCAAAGGGAGAAUAAAACUACAGCUAGGAGGAUCCCUGUAGUAUCUGGUGACCCUGUGAUCUCUGUCUCAGAGGCCAACAUCAAGCUGUCUUUCAGGAGGGUAAACCCUCACAAGGUGGCAGGUCCUGAUGGAGUACUUGAUAAGGCUCUGAAAAUUUGUGCCGACCAGUUGGCACGAGUGUUCAAAGACAUUUUCAAAGACACUUGGAAGUUCCUAUGUGCUUCAAAAGAACAACAAUUACACCAGUGCCCAAGAAGAAUAGUGUGAGCUGCCUUAAUGACUAUCAUCCUGAAACACUCAUGUCUAUGGUGAUGAAGUGCUUUGAGAGGUUGGUCAUGGCUAGAAUCAGCUCCUGCCUCUGCAAGGACCUGGACCCAUUGCAGUUUGCCUAUCACAAUAGAUCUACGGCAGAUGCGAUCUUAUUUGCUCUUCAUGCAGACUUGGAUCUGCUGGACAAUACCAAUGUGAGGAUUCUGUUUAUUGACUAUAACUCAGAAUUUAACACUAUCGUUCCUACAGUCCUGAUUGAAAAUCUACAAAACUUGGGCCUCUGUCCCACCCUCUGCGCUGGAUCCUCAAUUUCUAACUGGAAGAUCACAAACUGUAUGGUCUGGUAAUAUCUCCUGCUUGCUGAUGAACAAUGCUGGUGUACCUCAGGGAUGUGUGCUUAGCCCACUGAUCUAUUCUGUCUAUCCCCAUGAAUGUGUGGCUAGGCAUAGCUCAAAUGCCGUAUAUAAAUUUGCUGACGAUACAACUAUCGCUGGCAGAAUCUCAGAUGGUGACAUGAGGGCAUACAAGAGUGAAAUAUACCAGCUGGUUGAGCGGUGUCACAGCAACAACCUUGCACUCAACAUCAGCAAAUCCAAAGAAUGGAUAUUAGAUUUCAGAAACGGUAAGAUGAAGGAACACAAACCAAUUGUUUUAGAGUGAUCAGAAGUGGAAAGAGUGAGUAAUUUCAAGUUCCUGGAUAUUAAUAUCUCUGAGGACCUAAUCUGGCCCCAACAUAUUGACGCAGCUAUAAAGGAGGCAAGACAAUGGCUAUAUUUCAUUAAGAGUUUGUUUGACACUUGGAAUGUCACCCUGAGACACUCAAAAAUUUCUACAAAUGUACCAUGGAGAGCAUUCUGACUGGCUGCAUCACUGUCUACUAUGGAGCAGUGGGGAGGGAUAGACCCCUCUGCACAGGAGUAAGCUGCAGAGAAUUGUAAAAAUUGGUCAGCUCCAUCAUGGGCACUAGCCUCCAUAGUAUCUAAGACAUCUUCAAAAAUACAGUCUCCAUCAUUAAGGAUCCCCACCACCCAGGACAUGCCCUCUUCACGUUGCUACCAUCAGGAAGGAGGUACAGAAGCCUGAAGGCACCCACUCAGCAAUUCAAAAACAGCUUCCUUCCCUUUGCCAUCUGAAUUCUGAAUGAACAUUGAACCCAUGAACAAUACCUUGCUACUUUUAAAUUUCAUUUUUGGCACUGCAUAACUAUUUGAUAUACUACAUGUAAUUCACUGUUUUUUUCCGUGUUAUCAUUUAUUGCAUUCUACUACUGCCACAAAGUUAACAAGUUUCGACUCGUGCUGAUGAUAGUAACCUGAUUCUGAUUCUGUCAAUUUAGUAGUGGUGGGUUAAAAUAGAGGACAAGCCACAAGAGGGCAGUGUCUGAGAGCUAAGGAAUAGUUAAUGAUAUGAGGCCACAGAAGAACUUGAAGAAGGCGUGGAUUUUGAUUUUGUAUUUAUUGUGUUUGUCAAAACUAUAGAUCAGCCUGUAUCAGGUUAAAGAGAGAACAGAUCUUCUUGUGGAGCAGGAUACUGACAGUUGCAUUUUGAAUGUAUUGGCAUUUUAAAAGAAUUGAGUGUGAUGUGUAUUUAAUAUUUCAAUAAUAUUUGAGUAAUCUUGUACAUAUAUAUUGGUUGGUGAAACAUUCUUGUUUAUUUAAAUAAUUCAUUAUGGGUUAACUAUGAAAUUAUAUUGAUUGCAUGUGUUAUCACAGUACCAUAUGAUAUAUACAUGCGCUGGCAUGUACAUGUAAAACUUGUAGUUAGAAUCACAUUUUGGUCUCCCGUGUCCUCCUUUGAACAGUUUAAUGUUUUGAAGUUACAGGGGGCAUUUGAAAAGACAGAUAUUGAAACUAGAUAAGGACAUAGGCAGUGAUAGAGUAGGAGAAUGAUAAAGUAGGUUAGUUUUAUUACAACUAACCUGAGACUUGAAACUUAGCUGCAGACUGAACUUGAGCUGGUAUAGGGGAAGAAAUUUAUGUCUGUAAUGAAAGCACUGACAUAUAUUUGAGCAACUAGCUUCAGAAUUGAACAACAGUAAGAUACUGAAAAUAUAUUAAGUGGAUGAUAACUCAGCUGGACAGCAAGCAAAUGGAAAAAGGAAUUACAAUAAUGCUGCUUUAAAAACAUAUAAAUACUUCAAAUUUUUGUGAAGAUGGACUGGUUAUCGUUUUUACCAUAAUUACUUUAUACGAACAAUAAUAUUUUUGGUAAAUAAUAUCAGAGCUCAAUUUAAUUUAUGCCACCACAUUUUGUGUUUAGUCAAAAAAGCCACAAAAAUAUGUAAUGUCCUUUAUGGAAGAUUUGAGCAUGAUGGACUAUUCAAAAGUAUUUCUUCUCUUCAGAAGCCCUUGAGAAGAUAUCCUAAGCAAAAAUUGCUGUAUUAAAUUAUGAUUGAUUUAACAGAUUACUUUGUUUUGAGCAUCUUAGAACUUAGGUUUUGCUCUUCCAUAAAGAAUCUUUUGUGCACUGGUAUAUACCAAUCUUAAGAUUUUCUGGAUAAUAAUCUUAUCAAUAGUGUGGAGAUUAUGCUUUUGAAUUCAUAUUUGAUAGAGUAAAAUUUACUUUCAGCAGAUGUGUAAAAUUGGAAAACUGAAUUUAUUGUAGUUUGUGGAAAGUCUCAGAGAAUGUUGGGUCAUAUAGUGACCAGAAUAAGGCUGUCGAUAAGGUACCACAAUUACAAUUCACAUAUGCCCCACUCUUAUUUGAAGUUAGAUAUGAAAGCAUUUCCAAGUACUCUGUAAUACUGAACUCUUGUAUAAAGAAAUCUAAGCUAACGUGUUAUUUGCUUGCAUUUAUGUCUGCAUGACUUUUUUUCUACACAUUGAGAGUCUGAUGAUUUUUUUAAAUAGGUUUCUUUGUG